RNAcentral lists this ribosomal RNA (1681 nucleotides) under Paracoccus aminovorans. RNAcentral describes it as "bacterial LSU rRNA". It matches the Rfam family "Bacterial large subunit ribosomal RNA", at positions 1163 to 2925 of the family's 2925-position model. The record is from RNAcentral. RNAcentral also lists the same sequence under 1 other name. Lineage: Bacteria; Pseudomonadati; Pseudomonadota; Alphaproteobacteria; Rhodobacterales; Paracoccaceae.
GGCGAAGAUGUAACGGGGCUCAAGCCACGAGCCGAAGCUUUGGGUGUGCAUUUAUGCACGCGGUAGCGGAGCGUUCUGUGAUAUAGAACGCUGCCUCUUCUAUCCUUCGGGAUAGCGGAGGCAAUGUUCUGACUGUGAAGCCGGGCUGUAAGGCAUCCGGUGGAGUGAUCAGAAGCGAGAAUGUUGACAUGAGUAGCGACAAACAGGGUGAGAGACCCUGUCGCCGAAAGUCCAAGGGUUCCUGCUUAAAGCUAAUCUGAGCAGGGUAAGCCGGCCCCUAAGGCGAGGCCGAAAGGCGUAGUCGAUGGGAACCAGGUUAAUAUUCCUGGGCCAGGAGAUGGUGACGGAUCGCAGAGCUAGUUCUUCCUUAUCGGAUUGGAAGGGCUGGUGAGCGGUUCCUGGAAAUAGCCCUCCACAAGACCGUACCCUAAACCGACACAGGUGGACUGGUAGAGAAUACCAAGGCGCUUGAGAGAACCACAUUUAAGGAACUCGGCAAAAUACCUCCGUAAGUUCGCGAGAAGGAGGCCCGGUUGCUGCGCAAGCAGUGGCUGGGGGCACAAACCAGGGGGUGGCGACUGUUUACUAAAAACACAGGGCUCUGCGAAGCCGUAAGGCGACGUAUAGGGUCUGACGCCUGCCCGGUGCCGGAAGGUUAAAAGGAGAGGUGCAAGCCUUGAAUUGAAGCCCCGGUAAACGGCGGCCGUAACUAUAACGGUCCUAAGGUAGCGAAAUUCCUUGUCGGGUAAGUUCCGACCUGCACGAAUGGCGUAACGACUUCCCCGCUGUCUCAAAUGUGGACUCAGCGAAAUUGAAUUGUCUGUGAAGAUGCAGACUUCCCGCGGUUAGACGGAAAGACCCCAUGCACCUUUACUAUAGCUUCGCACUGGCAUCAGGAUUGUGAUGUGCAGGAUAGGUGGUAGGCAUUGAAACCGGGACGCCAGUUCCGGUGGAGCCAUCCUUGAGAUACCACCCUUCGCACUCUUGAUGUCUAACCGCGGCCCGUUAUCCGGGUCCGGGACCCUGCGUGGUGGGUAGUUUGACUGGGGCGGUCGCCUCCCAAAGAGUAACGGAGGCGCGCGAAGGUUGGCUCAGAGCGGUCGGAAAUCGCUCGUUGAGUGCAAUGGCAGAAGCCAGCCUGACUGCAAGACUGACAAGUCGAGCAGAGACGAAAGUCGGCCAUAGUGAUCCGGUGGUCCCGAGUGGAAGGGCCAUCGCUCAACGGAUAAAAGGUACGCUGGGGAUAACAGGCUGAUGAUGCCCAAGAGUCCAUAUCGACGGCAUCGUUUGGCACCUCGAUGUCGGCUCAUCUCAUCCUGGGGCUGGAGCAGGUCCCAAGGGUAUGGCUGUUCGCCAUUUAAAGAGGUACGUGAGCUGGGUUUAGAACGUCGUGAGACAGUUCGGUCCCUAUCUGCCGUGGGUGUAGGAUACUUGAGAGGAGUUGCCCCUAGUACGAGAGGACCGGGGUGAACGUUCCACUGGUGGACCAGUUGUCGUGCCAACGGCAGUGCUGGGUAGCUAUGAACGGACAGGAUAAACGCUGAAGGCAUCUAAGCGUGAAGCCCCCCUCAAAACAAGGUAUCCCUUGAGAGCCGUGGAAGACCACCACGUCGAUAGGCCGGAGAUGUAAGCGCAGCAAUGCGUUCAGUUGACCGGUACUAAUGGCUCGAUUGGCUUGAUU